RNAcentral lists this ribosomal RNA (367 nucleotides) under Merodon chalybeus. RNAcentral's name for it is "eukaryotic LSU rRNA". The record is from RNAcentral. Lineage: Eukaryota; Metazoa; Arthropoda; Insecta; Diptera; Syrphidae.
AAGCCCGAUGAACCUGAAUAUCCAUUAUGGAAAAUUCAACAUUAAUAUUAUAAUAAUUAUUUAUAAAUAUUAUAAAAAUAGUGUGCAAUUUUUCCAUAUAAGGACAUUGUAAUCUGUUAAUGUAAUAAAUAUUUAUCAUAAGAUUCAAUAUAUAAAAGUUUAUUUAAAUUAGUUAUUUUUUUUAAAUUUCUAACAUAGAAUAAAUUUAAUUGAAUUUGAUAAAUCAUUGACAGAUUUAUUUAUAUAUAGUGCAUAAAUUCUUAAUUGAAUUUUACAAUAAUAUUUAAAUGUAUUUUCAUUUAUUUAUUUAUUGUAUGCAUUUAUAUGAUUAACAAUGCAUAUAGAUUCAGGAUACCUUCGGGACCCG